GUGGGGAAUAUUGCACAAUGGGCGAAAGCCUGAUGCAGCAACGCCGCGUGAAGGAUGAAGGCCUUUGGGUCGUAAACUUCUGUCCUUGGGGAAGAAAAAAAUGACGGUACCCCUGGAGGAAGUCCCGGCUAACUACGUGCCAGCAGCCGCGGUAAUACGUAGGGGGCGAGCGUUAUCCGGAAUUAUUGGGCGUAAAGAGUACGUAGGUGGUUUUUUAAGCGCAGGGUUUAAGGCGAUGGCUCAACUGUCGUUCGCCCUGUGAACUGGAAGACUUGAGUACAGGAGAGGAAAGCGGAAUUCCUAGUGUAGCGGUGAAAUGCAUAGAUAUUAGGAGGAACACCAGUGGCGAAGGCGGCUUUCUGGACUGUAACUGACACUGAGGUACGAAAGCGUGGGGAGCAAACAGGAUUAGAUACCCGGGUAGUCC
RNAcentral lists this ribosomal RNA (427 nucleotides) under uncultured bacterium. RNAcentral's name for it is "partial 16S ribosomal RNA". It matches the Rfam family "Bacterial small subunit ribosomal RNA", at positions 354 to 796 of the family's 1533-position model. The record is from RNAcentral.